Molecule: ribosomal RNA, 254 nt
Filed under: Microbacterium sp. BECR6
Lineage: Bacteria; Bacillati; Actinomycetota; Actinomycetes; Micrococcales; Microbacteriaceae
Description: partial 16S ribosomal RNA
Rfam family: Bacterial small subunit ribosomal RNA
Source: RNAcentral
UAAUAAAGCGAUUGUCGGCCUUAUACACAUGCAAGUCGAACGGUGAAGCCCAGCUUGCUGGGUGGAUCAGUGGCGAACGGGUGAGUAACACGUGAGCAAUCUGCCCCUGACUCUGGGAUAAGCGCUGGAAACGGCGUCUAAUACCGGAUACGAUCUGCGGCCGCAUGGUCGGCAGUUGGAAAGAUUUUUCGGUCAGGGAUGAGCUCGCGCCCUAUCAGCUUGUUGUUGAGGUAUGGCUCAUCACAGCGUCUACG